CGUGAGGGAAAGGUGAAAAGAACCCCGGGAGGGGAGUGAAAUAGAACCUGAAACCCUGCACUUACAAGCUGUGGGAGCACAUUACUUGUGUGACCGCGUACUUUUUGUAGAACGGGCCAACGAGUUACGUUAAGUAGCAAGGUUAAGCACUUAAGGUGUGGAGCCGUAGCGAAAGCGAGUCUUAAAUGGGCGAUUAAGUUACUUGGCGUAGACCCGAAACCGGGCGACCUAUCCAUGAGCAGGUUGAAGCGAAAGUAAAAUUUCGUGGAGGACCGAACCCACGAGCGUUGAAAAGCUCGGGGAUGACUUGUGGAUAGCGGUGAAAUUCCAAUCGAGCCCGGAGAUAGCUGGUUCUCCCCGAAAUAGCUUUAGGGCUAGCCUCAAGCGUAGAGAAACGGAGGUAGAGCACUGAAUGUCCUAGGGGGUAUUGCACUUACCGAAGACUAUCAAACUCCGAAUGCCGUUUUCUUUUACUUGGGAGUCAGACUGUGGGUGAUAAGAUUCAUAGUCAAAAGGGCAACAGCCCAGAUCGUCAGCUAAGGUCCCUAAAUGUACGUUAAGUGGUAAAGGAUGUGGGAUUGCACAGACAACCAGGAUGUUGGCUUAGAAGCAGCCACUCAUUUAAAGAGUGCGUAAUAGCUCACUGGUCGAGUGAUCCUGCGCCGAAAAUUUCCGGGGCUAAAACGUACUACCGAAGCUACGGCAUCAUUUAUGAUGGGUAGGGGAGCUUCGUAUGCAGGCUGAAGCAUGACCGUAAGGACAUGUGGACAGUAUACGAGUGAGAAUGUUGGCAUGAGUAGCGAGACGUGGGUGAGAAUCCCACGGGCCGUAAACCCAAGGUUUCCAGGGGAAGGUUCGUCCGCCCUGGGUUAGUCGGGACCUAAGCCGAGGCCGAAAGGCGUAGGUGAUGGACAACAGGUUGAUAUUCCUGUACCGCCAAUAAGCGUUUGAGAGAUGGAGUGACACAGUAGGAUAAGCUAACCGUACUGUUGGUUAUGUACGGCUAAGCAUUGAGGCAGUCUAAAUAGGCAAAUCCGUUUAGACAAUGCUAGGAUGUGAUGGGGAAGCCCUUCGGGGCGAAGUAGCUGAUUUCACACUGUCAAGAAAAGCUUCUAUCGAGUUUAAAGGCGCCCGUACCGUAAACCGACACAGGUGGGUGAGGAGAGUAUCCUAAGGCCAGCGAGAGAACUAUUGUUAAGGAACUCGGCAAAAUGACCCCGUAACUUAGGGAGAAGGGGUGCCUGUCUAUGACAGGCCGCAGAGAAUAGGCCCAAGCGACUGUUUACCAAAAACACAGGUUUCUGCUAAGUCGCAAGACGAUGUAUAGGAGCUGACGCCUGCCCGGUGCUGGAAGGUUAAGGGGAUCUGUUAGAGCAAUCGAAGCAGUGAACUUAAGCCCCAGUAAACGGCGGCCGUAACUAUAACGGUCCUAAGGUAGCGAAAUUCCUUGUCGGGUAAGUUCCGACCCGCACGAAAGGCGUAACGAUUUGGGCACUGUCUCAACAAUAGACUCGGUGAAAUUGUAAUCCCGGUGAAGAUGCCGGGUACCUGCGACAGGACGGAAAGACCCCAUGGAGCUUUACUGUAGCUUGACGUUGGGUCUUGGUACUACAUGUACAGGAUAGGUGGGAGACUAUGAAGCAUGGACGCCAGUCUGUGUGGAGUCAUCCUUGGGAUACCACCCUUGUAGUACUGGGAUCCUAACCAUAGGCCUUGAAUCAGGUCUUGGAACACCGUCAGGUGGGCAGUUUGACUGGGGCGGUCGCCUCCUAAAAAGUAACGGAGGCGCUCAAAGGUUUCCUCAGCACGGUCGGAAAUCGUGCGAAGAGUGUAAAGGCAAAAGGAAGCUUGAUUGCAAGACAUACAGGUCGAGCAAGGACGAAAGUCGGACUUAGUGAUCCGGUGGUACCGCAUGGAAGGGCCAUCGCUCAACGGAUAAAAGCUACCCUGGGGAUAACAGGCUUAUCUCCCCCAAGAGUUCACAUCGACGGGGAGGUUUGGCACCUCGAUGUCGGCUCAUCGCAUCCUGGGGCUG
Molecule: ribosomal RNA, 2035 nt
Filed under: human gut metagenome
Description: bacterial LSU rRNA
Rfam family: Bacterial large subunit ribosomal RNA
Source: RNAcentral